This 222-nucleotide ribosomal RNA is filed under the name uncultured bacterium. RNAcentral's name for it is "partial 16S ribosomal RNA". It matches the Rfam family "Bacterial small subunit ribosomal RNA", at positions 109 to 334 of the family's 1533-position model. The record is from RNAcentral.
AGUAAUGUAUGGGGAUCUGCCCGAUAGAGGGGGAUAACUACUGGAAACGGUGGCUAAUACCGCAUAAUGUCUACGGACCAAAGCAGGGGCUCUUCGGACCUUGCACUAUCGGAUGAACCCAUAUGGGAUUAGCUAGUAGGUGGGGUAAGGGCUCACCUAGGCGACGAUCCCUAGCUGGUCUGAGAGGAUGAUCAGCCACACUGGGACUGAGACACGGCCCAG